GCUCUAGUAGCUCAGUGUUAGAGCG
Molecule: transfer RNA, 25 nt
Filed under: Ctenopoma kingsleyae
Lineage: Eukaryota; Metazoa; Chordata; Actinopteri; Anabantiformes; Anabantidae
Description: partial tRNA-Thr
Source: RNAcentral